This 408-nucleotide ribosomal RNA is filed under the name uncultured bacterium. RNAcentral's name for it is "partial 16S ribosomal RNA". It matches the Rfam family "Bacterial small subunit ribosomal RNA", at positions 28 to 526 of the family's 1533-position model. The record is from RNAcentral.
GACGAACGCUGGCGGCGUGCUUAACACAUGCAAGUCGAACGAAGUGGCGCACGGGUGAGUAACGCGUAAUCAACCUGCCCUUCAGAGGGGAACAACAGUUGGAAACGACUGCUAAUACCGCAUACUGAAGGAGGUGAUUGCGUCUGAUUAGCUAGUUGGUGGGGUAACGGCCCACCAAGGCGAUGAUCACUAGCCGGGCUGAGAGGAUGAACGGCCACAUUGGGACUGAGACACGGCCCAGACUCCUACGUGAGGCAGCAGUGGGGAAUCUUCCGCAAUGGACGCAAGUCUGACGCAGCAACGCCGCGUGAGUGAUGAAGGCCUUCGGGUUGUAAAGCUCUGUUGGUAGGGAAGCGGUAUCUAAAGAGAAAGCAACGGCUAACUACGUGCCAGCAGCCGCGGUAAUUC